GUCGAGCGAGCUGAACAGCAGAUUCACUUCGGUGAUGACGCUGGGAACGCGAGCGGCGGAUGGGUGAGUAACACGUGGGUAACCUGCCCUAAAGUCUGGGAUACCACUUGGAAACAGGUGCUAAUACCGGAUAACAACAAUAGCUGCAUGGCUAUUGCUUAAAAGGCGGCGAAAGCUGUCGCUAAAGGAUGGACCCGCGGUGCAUUAGCUAGUUGGUAAGGUAAUGGCUUACCAAGGCGACGAUGCAUAGCCGAGUUGAGAGACUGAUCGGCCACAUUGGGACUGAGACACGGCCCAAACUCCUACGGGAGGCAGCAGUAGGGAAUCUUCCACAAUGGGCGAAAGCCUGAUGGAGCAACGCCGCGUGAGUGAAGAAGGUUUUCGGAUCGUAAAGCUCUGUUGUUGGUGAAGAAGGAUAGAGGUAGUAACUGGCCCCUAUUUGACGGUAAUCAACCAGAAAGUCACGGCUAACUACGUGCCAGCAGCCGCGGUAAUACGUAGGUGGCAAGCGUUGUCCGGAUUUAUUGGGCGUAAAGCGAGCGCAGGCGGAAAGAUAAGUCUGAUGUGAAAGCCCCCGGCUUAACCGAGGAAUUGCAUCGGAAACUGUGUUUCUUGAGUGCAGAAGAGGAGAGUGGAACUCCAUGUGUAGCGGUGGAAUGCGUAGAUAUAUGGAAGAACACCAGUGGCGAAGGCGGCUCUCUGGUCUGUAACUGACGCUGAGGCUCGAAAGCAUGGGUAGCGAACAGGAUUAGAUACCCUGGUAGUCCAUGCCGUAAACGAUGAGUGCUAAGUGUUGGGAGGUUUCCGCCUCUCAGUGCUGCAGCUAACG
RNAcentral lists this ribosomal RNA (829 nucleotides) under uncultured bacterium. Its description in RNAcentral is "bacterial SSU rRNA". It matches the Rfam family "Bacterial small subunit ribosomal RNA", at positions 61 to 857 of the family's 1533-position model. The record is from RNAcentral.